UGCAAUUAUUUGCAUUUGCGGAGAGGCUCAUCCUAAGAAAUAUUCCUAACAUUCGCUUGUCUUGUUUCUUGUCCACUUUUCUUAACCUAUGUUAUCCCGUCUACCCUUUGCCCUCUGUGUUUUUCCCGUUCUCUUGCUUCCUUAAACCUUACGCUUACCCCGUGGAUUGCCGCAUAGCUGGGUGGCUGGCCCUGAUGCCCUCCUCCUUCUCUCAGCUUUCUCCUUCUAUAUAUUCUCUCUCUGCCUGCCAGCCCCGCCUAUCCUUGCUCCUGCCUCGCUAUUGGCCGUUCAGAUCUUUAUCAGACCACCAGGUGUUCCAGACAGGUAAAGAAUCGCAGCUUCACAGAGUUAAACAAAUGCAACAUAAACAAAAAGUCCCACACCUUAAAACAAUAUUCCCAACAGAGGGAGGGGAAACUGCAGUCAAGGUAUAAUAUAUGAGGGACGAAGUGAAGAAGGAGGAGGAGGAGGAGAAAAAAAAGGAGGAAAAGGAGGAGGAGAAAAAGAAAUUGAGGCACACAUCCAAAAUUUCUAGGCCCUCAUAAUAACAGUUUCUGAAAUUUGAGCCUGACUCACCACAGUUCCAUUCAGAUAAGGAAGAGACAAAUAGGGGGUAGAAAUUUACAGGCAAAGAAAUCUUCCAUUUUGAACUCAAUGACUCUGAAGCGCUGGUAGCAUUGCAGAUAACGAGUCCCAAAGGGCUAUGGCGAUACGGAGUGGCACAAAGAAUCAUUGCAAGAGAGAGCAUUUCCCGAGAGGGCAAAGACCAAAUAAAGUGGAAGGCAAACCGAGAUCAUGUACAUUUAUAGUCCCUCAAAAGGAAAACAAUGAGAAAGAAUAACUCAGAGAAAGGGGGAAAGACCCGAAAGAGAGUUUUGUAUCAGCCUGCUUUUAUUGUUAUUAUAAUGAAAUCUCUGAGACAAGGUAACAUUAUAAGGAAAAGGAGGUUUCUUUAGUUCAUAGUUUUAGAGACCAAAAGACCAAAAAGGAGAUCAAAAAACUUCAGCGCAAAAAAACAAGCAUUUGGACGGUGGUGACCUCACAAAGCACUGCCCACACGGGCUGUGGCGAUCUCCAAAGCAUUGACUCAUGUGCAAAGCUGCCCUGGCCACAUGUGUGCAUUCAAGCUACAAAGGAAGGGAGCUUCCUGACAUCACCUGCUCUCUUGACAACGGGGAUGUGUCAAGCAUAUAUGCAUUGUAAAGGUAUUGACCUUGUUGUUUCCCAAGGGGCAGGCAUACACAGGCUAGCAGGAGAAACAAUUUUUUUUAGGGCUACCCAGCAAUCCUCCUCGAAACCUAGAACCCUGUUCGGGACAGAAUGGUAAUUUCUCCAGCAGUUUCCCAUUCCAGAAACAUCUCCUGUACACUUAUCCUUUCUCUCUUUGCUUCUUCUUGUUCAUCUCUUGCUAACAACUGGCUUUGUACGUCUUCUUUUUCAGACUCUACCGAAGUCACCAGCUGUUCCGCAGUUUCUGCGCUGUUGUCUCAUUCCAAGGUCCUUGGCUUCUACAUGAUGUCCCAUCGGUUUGCCUUUCUCUACUUCUCUGCGUCAAGUCCAAAAUCCUCAAGGACAGGGCCUUGAUUGCUCCAGUCUCUUUCCAAUGCCAUUCGGGGUUGCAAGUUUGACGAAGUGCAUGAACGCCGUCUCUGCCUUUCAGUCAGUUGUGGAUUCUAACCAGAUGUGACUAAGGCAUACGUGUUGCAUGUGUCCAAGACCAAGCAACCAAGCCUAGGGAAUUCUCAUAGCCCUGUUCUGCCCAAGGAGAGCAAGCACAUCUAGAAACUGCUUCAAGUUUUAGUGACUUUUCUACUACAAGCCCCAGACCGACUGGGGACCCGGGUCAAAGCUCCCUCCAUGUGUAUGGGUCCUUCCAGGAGGUUUUUCAUUUUUAUAUUAGUUCAGUGGAGCAGCAGUCACACUUCAAAGUGGCACUUGCUGGCUGCAGAGGAUUAAAAACCCAUGAUAAACAGAAAGCUCAGGCGCGCAGAGGAAUCCGUAAAUUAAAAGAUUCGCAAGUUGUUUCUCUGCAAGAUGCCUGACCCCAGCCAGGUAGUGCCUGCUCUUCAAUCUUCAUCCACCUGCACCACCUGCUUACUGAGUAUUGGUUUUGGUCGGAGCUGUUUACGAAGAUUGCUGAGACAGAGCCCCUCCCCUCGAGGAGCUGAUUCCCGAGAAAGAAGCCGGGCUUGUGUCUCAUCUUCCGCUGGACUGGUUCAAACCCUUAUUCCUCCUUCUCCUUAGUCCCUUGGAGGGAAAAACACUGCUUGUCCAUACACCCUUCCUUGCCUGUUUCUCUUCUAUGUUGUCAAGGGUUCCUAGACAUUCUAGCAAACUCUGGCAACAGAAACAUGUGGAAAGUGAAUGUGGCUGCCCGGUUGGUAGAGAUUCCAAAAGUGGGGGAAAUCGGGAGUGGGGAGGGAGGGGCCAUCAAGGCAUAAUUAGUUUGAAAUUUCAUAAGCUUUUAUUCACAGUUUAUACUUCACAGAUUCAUAGUUUUGUAGUAGAAGGGGAAGUAAAGAAAUUGUUAUAUAAACAUGGAAAAGAAAUAGUGAACUAUGAACAAAUGGAACUGGCAAAAUUGCCCACGAGCCAACUGGCAAGACUAUUUUGGUUUCAUACACAAACACACACACACACACACACACACACACACACACACAAACCCCACCAAAACCAGCUCAAAGGAAUCAUUGUAGAGCGAAGCAGGAACACACAGUCAUCUGAAAUAGGACCUUUUAUCAUUUACAUUGUCUUGUUUGUAUAGAUCCAAGGGGCCAUAUUCCUACUUCACUACAGAAAACCAAUUCACACUGUAGAGUUCGCCAGCCUUUUGGAAGCUGGGGUUGCAGAGGUGAGCCCUGGAAACGGAAUGGAGAGGGGCCAGCGGCUGAGACGUGAGAGCUUCCGGCAAUGCGGAAUGCGUACGUGUGAACUCCCCCACCAGUCGGAUCACUGGAUAACAUGACUGUCCCUCCCCCACCUCCCCCCCAGCCUCUUUGCCCACACGGAGUUCCAGUUUCUCACCGGGCUACUCACUGGGACGUCUCCCCGAAAGAAGGAAGUAGUCUACCAGUCCGGGCGGGAGGCUAGUUCCAUUACCACAUUCCUAAGAAGAUGAAAGUUCCCUUAAUCUCACGGACAGCACGCUGCACGACUCAGGGUUGACCGUCUAAGUCUUGGGUUUCAUUGUUUCCCUGUUGCCCUGGGCAUUUCAAAUCCAUUAUUAUCUAAGCGGCCUAACCUCGCUGGGGUAGACCUAGCAGGCAAUCCAGUCCUAGCAAGGAUCAGCCUCAUUCUUCUUGGUAAUUGCACCUGCUCCCUCAUCUGGACUAGAAAGGAAGGAAAAUGGGAUAUUAAGUGGCCCGGCCUUUUGUCUGAUGCCAGGAAAGCAGCAAGCGCUCCUGUUCCUGCCCUGUUGUGGUUCGUGUUGAAAGGUCUCCAAGUGUGCGGCCCUUGGAGGAAUUAGCUCCCAGCUCCCUCAAAGCAAAUAGGUCCGAAGUGGAGAGACAACAGCUGGGCAGUGGGGUCCUGCAACCCCUACAGCAGCACAGCAGGGAGGGGCAGACAGACAUCACCGUGUUUGAUGAAACGGAUAGGAGCCAGAACACAGCCACGACUUGAAGCAGACAGACUGCUGCUGGGUAGUGACGAGGAAGAAGUCCCGUCGUGCGAGUGGGCAUGGCUGGUGUCAUAACUUAGGACAGUGUGGGUCCCUUCAAAAGCAGAGCUUCUCAUUGUUGUUCGGAACAGAGGAGCUUGCCAGCCACAAAACCCAGGUACCUUUCGCUCUCCCAGUGAACGGUAACUCUGAGUACGGAGAGACGACCCUGCUUUCUCUUGAGAUUCUGGAGACGCCUCUCACCAAUAUUUUAAUCUGAGCUCCCACAGUGUCACAGUCUUUGACGAAUACUGUUCAUCUGUCCUCGGUUUUACGAGGCAAUCUUGAAAAGCAUCCAUCAAGGACCUGCUCCGACUCUCCAGUUUUUCUCAUUGCUGAGAGAGAAGAGAGGAAAGAACAAAUGGCCCCACCACGAAGCAGAUGCAUUAAAAGGAAGCAGAAACUGACCUUCAGAAAUGUUUUGAAUAGAAAUUCUUUGGAAAUGAAGACUACAAAUGAGGCCGGUUGCUACUAAGUCAAGAAAGCAAUUCUAUUCAUGGAAAACAAGAGUCAAAUACAUUCCCAGUCCCCUCCAUUCCUGCCUCCCACACAUCUCACGUGGUGCUUUGGAGUCCUUGUUGCACGAAGUGGAAACUCUUUUCAGCUCAGGUGUGUUCUUGUAUCUCAUGAGCUCUGUCAGGACAAGGAUGGGACACAUGCCUGGAACAUGAUACCACGCGACAUGUGGUAGCUAUCCGGUCUUUCCCCCCAUCUUAAUUAGUUAAAUAAUA
Molecule: long non-coding RNA, 4392 nt
Organism: Alexandromys fortis (reed vole)
Lineage: Eukaryota; Metazoa; Chordata; Mammalia; Rodentia; Cricetidae
Exons: 4
Source: RefSeq, a predicted model, not a curated record